RNAcentral lists this transfer RNA (63 nucleotides) under Acanthodactylus aureus. RNAcentral describes it as "tRNA-Cys". The record is from RNAcentral. Lineage: Eukaryota; Metazoa; Chordata; Lepidosauria; Squamata; Lacertidae.
GCCUCGUGGUGAGCCACAUCAAAUUGCAAGUUUGAAGAAGCACCCGAAAAGGUGCCGGGGCUU